UACGGAGGGUGCAAGCGUUAUCCGGAAUCACUGGGUUUAAAGGGUGCGUAGGCGGCCCUGUAAGUCGGUGGUGAAAUAUCCCAGCUUAACUGGGAGGGUGGCAUUGAUACUGCGUGGCUAGAGUACAGAUGAGGUAGGCGGAAUUGACGGUGUAGCGGUGAAAUGCUUAGAUAUCGUCAAGAACACCUAUAGCGAAGGCAGCUUACUAGGCUGUAACCGACGCUGAGGCACGAAAGUGUGGGGAUCAAACAGG
RNAcentral lists this ribosomal RNA (253 nucleotides) under uncultured bacterium. RNAcentral's name for it is "partial 16S ribosomal RNA". It matches the Rfam family "Bacterial small subunit ribosomal RNA", at positions 524 to 776 of the family's 1533-position model. The record is from RNAcentral.